RNAcentral lists this unclassified non-coding RNA (7663 nucleotides) under Leishmania donovani. Its description in RNAcentral is "gene:LdHU3.33.0850(CDS-product:hypothetical_prote in_conserved)". Lineage: Eukaryota; Euglenozoa; Kinetoplastea; Trypanosomatida; Trypanosomatidae. The record is from RNAcentral.
CUCGUCCUAACUUGGGCGUGUGCCCUUUCAACUCCCUCUGCCGUGUCUCCGGCUCUGCCCGUGUGUGCGUCUGUGCCUGUGCAUCGGGGCUAUCGGUUAAAUCGUACUAACGACGUCCGGCUUGAGGCAGAGCACACACACGGCCUUCUUGUUUUGGUGCACGCUUUUGUACUUGAUCGAGCUUGUUGUGCAGCUGUGCCUCACUCUUUUUCGCUUUUCCUUUGCACUAUCCACUGCCCCCAACCCACGCACGUAGGUAGGCAUAUCCCCGUCCAUUCACGGUGACACGCACGGAGGUAGGUGCCGUCAUAGAGCGCGCCCAGCGGCUUGUCUCACGCAGUUCGGCAUCAGUGGCACGACGUCGAGGUGCGCGUGUCUCCGCUCGUGCGGCUUUGCCAUCUCCAUCGUCUCCCCUCGCCUUUCUUUCUGCAACUCAGCAGAGCGGUCCCUGGGGUGGGACGGUAACCGUGUGCAGUCUCUACCCCUCUUCCCUCCCGCUUGCCGAUGAAGCGUUUCCGUGAGGAGGCGGACGCGGCCUCGGAACGCGCGGGAGCGCAUGAUGCUUCCGACGUUACCUCUGCCGUCCGAAGCUCGUCGUCGUCUCCCUACGCGUUGUAUUUCGAGGUCAUCUUUGGCAUCACCUCCCGUCGAAGUGGAUCACUGGAGGCGGAACGGGCGGCACUCGUGUCGCGGCUUCUCGGUGCCACCACCGCCACUCCCACGUCAACAACUCAGACCUUGUCUCAUGCGAGCGCCUCGGUGACAGCGGUGGACGUUGCGACGCUGAUGGAAGAUGACAUUUCUGUCUGUCUGGGUGGCUUCACAAAGGAGCUGGUGUAUCAGCAGCUUCUCCACUGCAGUGAGGAAGGGUCCCUGCUGCGCUUGCUCACCGUGGAGCUGGUGGCGAACGAUGGCCGCACGCUGGUACUCGCCGCUCCGCAACCUUCAACAGCGGAGAGCGACGCAGCCAGCUCCUCGUCGUUGCUUAUGGACGUCGCCGGCGCUGGCGGGGAAUCCGCUAUGCAGCCGGCAGCGACAGGAGACGCUGCCGUCGCACAUCCCGCCGAUCUGUUGCUCCUUCGCUGCCAGCCGAGGCGACCCUCGGAGAACGCCGCCAAGGCGUCCGCCACUGCCAGUGAUAGCGGAGCGGCAUCGGGUGCGGCUUGGGCGACGCACCAGGAAUUCAUAACAUACAACACAUCUCUUUUCACGGCCUCAGAUGUCGAUCUCUGGCGUGAGGCGGUGGAGGGGAGCAUAGCGGUCGUGGUACGCUGGCUGGCGACGCUACUGGAGCAGCCACCGGGUCUCGCGCAGCUGACAUUCCUCGAAGCAGCGGCAGCAUCUUCGUCACCUGGCGCUGGAGCCAACGCUGGCCGCGAGGGCUGGCGGCGCACGCUGCAGCUCCCGAUGCUGCUAAGCAUUAAACCGGACGCCAUGCGCGGCGCCGAUGCGAAGACGCUCGACCGACUGCGGCGCACCGUCAGCUUUGCGUUGCGCGCCCUACUCGCCGUGUUCCUGCACGUGGAGUCGGCUAUGCGCCUGCCGCGGCUGUGCCACCGGUUGGUAUAUCUCUUUCUCGCGUCUCCGCUGUAUGUGGACGGGGCUUCGCAGGUGGCGAUGCAGCUGAUUGCCGCGGAUUCCGUCGCGUCUACCAGGCAGCUGAUGACGAACACACUGCACUCCUGCCUACUUCUGGGGCUACAGUACGCGAGCAGUAGCGCUGCUGUUUCGAUGGACGCCUCUCUCGCCACAGCCGAGGUGCGACGCAGCGCUCGGCAAGCCUGCAACGGUGUGGAGCUGGUCCUCGCCCGCCUCUCUCAUGUGUGGUUGCAGCAGUCCCACAGCGGGCGCAGCAAAGAAGCGGCGAUGGAUGUGAGUGGGUCGGAGGAGGCGAUCUCCGAGGUGCUCGAAGCGGUGGCUGCCACCGGCAUCUUGAAGGAGGUGCUGCGCUGGCUGCAGCUCGAGGACGAUGUGCGACGCUCGCACGACCGCUUGGACGCUAACCGCAGCGGCGCCAGCGACGACGUGACAGACACUCUUGCAGAGCUUCUUGUUCCGCCCACCCUACAACGCAUCCAAGACGGGUGGCACUUGCAAGAUCGUGCGGUGGUGGAGCAGUUGACGGCUCUGCGGCGCACCUACAAUCCGUACCUCAGCCGCGAGGUCCAGCAGUUUAUCCGCGGCACUGCGCUGGCAGCCUACGCUGAACUAUACAGCAGCACCGCUCGCGCGGUGCGACGCGUGACCAAGCUGUCUGACGGCUCGGAGGAGCUGGGCAGAGGUCGUGUCGAGGGCGUCAUAGCUGUGCGUGUGAGCGGCGUGGAGGCUGUGGGCCCGCGGUCUGGCGGGCUGGCGGAGUAUUCGCUGGCAGAGGUGCAGCACUACGCAGCCUUUGGUCUGCCGGUUCACUUGUGUGUGCAAGGCUCUCGCGAUCGGCGGCACCAAGAAGAGAUAAAGGCGCUCGUGUCAGCGCUGCAGUCGGCCCGAGUGUCCGACACGGAUUCCUCCCUCUUCGCCUAUGCCUUGGUACAGCUCAAUGGCCAGUGGGCUAUAUUUCCAUUGGUGCUCACGCACGUGACAAGUGACCGCUCGGCUGGGGAAAAGGGCAGCAGCGCCUCCACCGCCUCUUCUCGAGUGACGGCACACGUGCUGCGUGAUGCGGACAUGCUCACAGACUUCGUCCUUACGAGCGCCGCGGCUGCAGAGGAUGGGCAGGCGCGGGCGUGGAUCGUGUUAGGGGCUGAGGCGGCGGGGCAUCAGCGACGCGGCUCUCGACGUCGGCGCGCGGCCUUGCUCUCUGCACCCGCCGCUGCGCCGCCGGAGCGGCUCCUUCCAACCGGCACGCCAGCCCUGACGUACCUUGACUGCCUCCGUCGCCUUCACGCCUUGUCCCUCAGUGUACGGCAGGCGGAGGCGGGCGUGAACAGCAAGGGCCGCAUCAAUACUGCGAACAGUCGCGGCGGCAGCCGCAGCUCAGGCCAGCCGUUUGGCGCGGACGCGGUGUCGGGUCUGUGGACCGAGCACUUCACAGAUGGUGCUGUCCCGAUGCAGCGCUACGCGUCAUCUCUCACAGCUCCAGUCGCUGCCCUGCUGUCUGGCUCCGGCAACGGGAUAGAUGCCGCCGUGUCUUCGACGUCGUCUGGCGCGAGCGGAAAGCGGCUGGGAGAUGCGACGCUCACCUCACUGCAGACCCUUCUGGCCUCGGUAAACGAGGCGGUCGGCUUCUCCUCAGCACAGGUUGAAGCUCUCCACUCCCUCACCGCCGGCACCGGCCUCUCCAGAAACUGCACCGGCGCCGCGGCGCAAGGGAGCAGCGGGGUGCCUGUCUCGGUGAGGGUGGUCGAUGGGUGUACGGGGAGUGGCAAAACCGCUGUUCUCUACGCCUCAGCGCUGGUGCGCGGCAAGCUGCACGCAGCCGCGCGCCAGGAGCAGCAGCGCAGCGUGCAGGGCGGCAUCAAGCACGCGAUGGCGUCGGUUAAGCAGAUCGUCGCUGCGCUGCGUUGCGCCACUGUGGAGGAGCUCUUCUCCACCUAUGCCGGCGGACGCGCCGGGGGCAGCUUGUUGGAUGAGGCGAGCCUCAUCGUGGCAGAGGCUCGUCGACUGUACCAGCAGCUCAACGAGGGGUUCCUGUACUGUUCCACACCGCUGCUGCUGCGUCCCGCCGUCGCCACGUCCACCGUGCCGGCCUCGGUUGCCCAGUUUCUCUUCAGUUCCAGCAAAGACCUCAUGGACGAGGAGCAGGAGAGGGGGAGGCGGAGCGGCGCACGCAACACGCAGGUAGCGUGGCAAUUAAGCGAUAUUGCCUCUCUCGCAGCUCUGGUUAAGGAGUCGCACACGCGGUCUCUCAACGCCCCACUAACAACGCAGCUCAACACGGAGUUGCGCCGCCUUGAGGCUACCGGCUUGUGGAGCGGCGGAUGCCGUGCCGCAGUGUCGGUGGCUGCGCCGCUGCUCUCGUUGACGCUGUCUGCGCGUGACGCGGCGGAUUUGGUGGCCCGCGCGAGUAAGUCUUCUGCGCCUGCGCAAAGCUGGGCGGAGUUCAUCGUGAGGGACUUCUGGCCGGAUUGCGACGUGGCCACGUCCCUCUACCUCGUUGCCUCCGCUGCUCAUGGCGGAGCCUCUUCAACGACGUGGGAGUCGCUGAACGCCGCACCAGAGGGGCGGUACGCACCGGUUACGAUGCCGCCUACCACGCGCCUCUCCUCGUUAUCUAAGGAGCAGCUGGAGGGGUGGCACAUCGUGUACCUUGAGAAGCAGAGUGAGCUAGCGCAGCACAUCCACGCUGCCGUUCACGAAUCUGUCAAGUCGCUCUUCCAGUCCUUUCUGGAUCUGGUCUGGGGCGUAGCAGCCACUUCGCAGAGCACUCGACACACUGUCCUGACCAGCACCCCGACGGAGCUGACGCAGGGGCUGCUGCUGCCGUACCUUUGGUGCUGGCAGCCAUCGCACAUGUGCAUCGACGACAUCGACGCGGUGCAGGACAGCAUUUUCGCAAUGCUUACCCCUGUGUCCAGCUUCGUCUACUCGCUCACCUCUGAGGUGCCAGCCUUUCAAGAGCGUCGCCGAUCGCAUGAGCGCAUUGUGCUGGCGUUGCUGCGGUCACUGCACACGGAGCUGAAGCGCACUGGCGACCUCACCACCACAGUUCUACGUGACUCGCUGCGAUGCCGCCGUGCGGAGGUGCAGGCGCUGCUGCGCUACACUAUCGAGGAUGCCCGGGCUCUAGCCAAGGUCACAGAGGAGCCGGCGAACAGUGAAGGCGAUGACGCCCAGCAAGCCGGAGAAGACGGCGAAGUGUCGGGGCGGCUCCAGGGAGUCACCGACACCGCCUCACCGCCCCCGGCAUUUCUCGGACUGGCCUCUCACAGCGCGGUGGAGGUGUGGAGCCAUGGUGCUUCGCUGGAUAAUUGCGUUGCUGCCGACGCAGCUGCAGCGGUGUUUCUCAUGGAGUAUCUCUCCAGCUACCACCCUGUGCGUUGCGACGGCGCAUCGUCGAAGACGACGCCACCGGCGCAAACAUCUUUUGGCAUCUACACGAGCACCGCGGGCGAGGCGGAGACGAUCUCGGCGGCACUGUCGAGGUCCGCGCUCGCGUUAUCUCCCCAUUUCCGGCAGUCGGUGCGGGUGUGGAAGGAGUCACUGGAGGAUGCCGGCAACGAGGCCGUCUCUCCGGCGUCCGCGGUGACGACAGCGCCGCCAGCGGUGACCACGACCAUGUCUUACACUAGCCUUGAAGAGGCGGAGUGUGAGGCGGAGGUGGGCAUUGUGUGCCUCUCCGGCCUGCUCGAGGUAGUGAUUGCUGCGCUGCAUAAGAGUCGCGGCGGCACCUCUGGCACCGUCGCCGACGGCGGAAGCCAUCGGCCAGACGUGCGGCAUGAGCAGUGGCAGCAACUUUGGGCAGAGUCUUCUGACGGAUCCGCGUCGCUCUUUGUGACACGCCUGCAGUGGUGGCUGUGGCGACUGCUGCGACGAGUGCGCCAUGGCGUGUUUCUUAUCGGCAGCCGCGAGCUGUUCGCCUGCAUCCCACUGUUCGCCAAGGCCGAGUCUCUCGUGCAGCGUCAGCGGCGCCUACUGGCACCGAAGGAUCAUCGGGGGUACUGGCUGCCCUCUGAGGUGGGGGCCAGCGUGCUGGCGAUGGUGUGCCCAGACCACUUCAAGUGUCGCCGUAUCGCCGUUGUGCGGGAGCACGACGACGCCAAAGCUGCUGCAGCGCCGGCGCCGGAAGGAGAAGAGGAGGAUGCGGACGCCGACGAGGAGCUCGUGACGGUUCAGGUGCAUGGCCCUACUGAGUGCCUCUCGCUCUGCCUGCAGGUGUACAACGCGUGCCCCAACUCUUCGCAUGCUUGCCUGAAACCGUGUCAUGCGCAGCACCGCAUCGGCACUGCGCACCUUGAAGAGAACGGCCGUACGACGACGAACGAGGUUACCCACGCGUCUUGCCCAUACCCCUGUGGCGCAUUGCUGCCGUGUGGCCACACGUGUCAUCGUGUCUGUAGUGCGUCGUGUGCGCCGUGCGCCUACACCGGUCUGACAGAGUUGACGUGCGGCCAGCGAGUGGUGAGCGGCACGGACAGCAACCAGGUGGUGCAGUACGCCUUUUUCCAUCAUUUCCAGGAACGUCGCUGCGGGGAGCCGACGGGACUCUGUCGCACGCCGGUCUCCGUCAUGUGUACACGCUGCGGCACCCGCUCCACGGUUGCGUGCCACUGCGUCACGGCGCACCUGUCACGCCGUCAGCGCGCUGCCGAAGAGGAGACCGUGCAGAGUGCCGUGGCCGACGACGGCACGUACAUGCUCGAGGAGACGGCGUGCGCUGGGUGUGUGGCGCUCUACAACAAGGUUGCAAAGAAGUUUGGGUACGAGCUUCUCGCUACGCCACCGGUAGACCACGCGCAGAGCGGCCAUCACGGCCCCAUGGCAGGACACCCGCACGGCGGCGCAGAUGCGGACGACGGCGACGAGGAGGAGGACAGCGAGGUGAUGGGCACCGCGCUCCCACGUCAUCUCCUCUCCACCGAGGCUCAGACGGAGCUUCGCCGCGAGUUCACCAUCGCUAGCAAGAAGUCCGAACUGCUUGUGAGGAAGGAGGCGCUGGAGAUCAGCAGCGGACGAGCGACAGAGAAGACGGACUACGAAGUGUACCGAGCGCAGCACGCGGCGCUGAGGGCCACACAGCAGUCGCAGGAGAAGGCCUCGCGAGACGCAUAUCAGGCGGUGCUGGACGGCUGGGCUGUGAAGUUGCGGCACGCGCUGGAGGUGCAGACGGCCCUCAACACCGAGCUGGACACGUUGAUGCCGCGCCUGGUGGCGGAGGCGACCGAGGAGGCGCAGGCGCAACGACUGCAAUUUGCCGAGUAGAGCACCGCGAAUUGAAGGGAAGCGGGUGGGCGCAGAGUUGCAACGAUUAGGGUGGCGUGAGGCUGUUGGUGGUGGUGUGGCUGAGGCGAGGGGAAGGGAAGGAGCAGAGGCCGCUCGUGGCGAAAAGCGGCCUCUGCUUUUAAAGUGGUGGACAGGGGGCGGUGGGGGGGCGGGCUAGACCGGGGGAAAGAACGGAUGUCUUUUUCCGAUCUUCUGCUAUCACCCUCCACUUCUUUGGUGCGCCUCCGCGCCAGCACCGUUGAAGCAGUAGGGUCUGAGUGUGACCAAGAACACCCGCGAUGGAGAGAGCGAGAGUCGAAGAUGCGCAGAGGGGAGCUCAAACUCAUUCGCGACGGUGGCCGUCUCCCUCCCUCGCGCCCUUCUGAGUUCUUUUAUGGCAGGUCGUAAAUACGGCUCACACACACACACACACGUCUCUCCGGCGUGGGAGAGGAGACAGUGCGGCCCAAGAACGACCCACCGGGCAACUCGGCGGCUUGCACAAGGAUUUGGUUCAAGAGUCAAACACCCUUCCACCUAGCGCGUAGCCGGUGUUCUAAUCGAUAGAGGGUGGAGGGCGAUCACCUAGAGGCGCUGUACGGCUGCUACUUAGCGACGUUGACUGCGCCACAUCAUCCUGCAGGGUCAAGGCGCGUCCGUGUGCGCUGUGGGCUCGUGGAUGGUUCAUCUCUCGCACGCCGCCGAUCUUGUGACCAGCGGAAUCGUUUUCACCGCUGCCAUCGACGAGUUGCUCUGCCUGCUUCACUCCUUCUUCGGCCGCUUUUCUUGCUGUGGACACACAUAG